AACGAACGCUGGCGGCAGGCUUCAUACAUGCAAGUCGAACGGUUAAAGCUCCUUCGGGAGUGUAUAAAGUGGCGAACGGGUGAGUAACAGGUGGGUAAUCUGCCUCUCAGUGGGGAAUAACAGCUGGAAACGGCUGCUAAUACCGCAUGCGAUUUUAGAGUCCUCGGGCUUUACAAGGAAAGGGCCAAUUGGUCCGCUGAGAGAUGAGCCCGCCCCCCAUUAGGUAGUUGGUGUGAUAAAAGCGCACCAAGCCGACGAUGGGUAGCCGGACUGAGAGGUUGGCCGGCCACACUGGAACUGAGACACGGUCCAGACACCUACGGGUGGCAGCAGUAGGGAAUAUUGCGCAAUGGGCGAAAGCCUGACGCAGCCAUGCCGCGUGGAUGAUGAAGGCCUUCGGGUCGUAAAGUCCUUUUAUCAGGGAAGAACAAGUGAAGGAGUGGAAAGCCUUCGCCCUGACGGUACCUGAUGAAUAAGCAACGGCUAACUCCGUG
RNAcentral lists this ribosomal RNA (494 nucleotides) under uncultured bacterium. RNAcentral describes it as "bacterial SSU rRNA". It matches the Rfam family "Bacterial small subunit ribosomal RNA", at positions 29 to 507 of the family's 1533-position model. The record is from RNAcentral.